GGAAUUUUCCGCAAUGGGCGAAAGUCUGACGGAGCAACGCCGCGUGAGUGAAGAAGGCCUUCGGGUUGUAAAGCUCUGUUUUUGGGGACGAAUGUUAAUGACGGUACCUGAGGAGGAAGCCACGGCUAACUACGUGCCAGCAGCCGCGGUAAUACGUAGGUGGCAAGCGUUGUCCGGAAUUAUUGGGCGUAAAGCGCGCGCAGGCGGGAUAUCAAGUCCAUCUUAAAAGUGCUGAGCUUAACUCAGUGAGGGGAUGGAAACUGGUAUUCUUGAGUGUCGGAGAGGAAAGUGGAAUUCCCAGUGUAGCGGUGAAAUGCGUAGAUAUUGGGAGGAACACCAGUGGCGAAGGCGACUUUCUGGACGAUGUCUGACGCUGAGGCGCGAAAGCCAGGGAAGUGAACGGGAUUAGAUACCCCUGUAGUC
RNAcentral lists this ribosomal RNA (423 nucleotides) under uncultured bacterium. RNAcentral describes it as "bacterial SSU rRNA". It matches the Rfam family "Bacterial small subunit ribosomal RNA", at positions 358 to 795 of the family's 1533-position model. The record is from RNAcentral.